UCGAACGGCAGCGCGGGGCAACCUGGCGGCGAGUGGCGAACGGGUGAGUAAUAUAUCGGAACGUACCCUGGAGUGGGGGAUAACGUAGCGAAAGUUACGCUAAUACCGCAUACGAUCUAAGGAUGAAAGUGGGGGCUUCGCAAGAACCUCAUGCUCCUGGAGCGGCCGAUAUCUGAUUAGCUAGUUGGUGGGGUAAAGGCCUACCAAGGCAUCGAUCAGUAGCUGGUCUGAGAGGACGACCAGCCACACUGGAACUGAGACACGGUCCAGACUCCUACGGGAGGCAGCAGUGGGGAAUUUUGGACAAUGGGCGAAAGCCUGAUCCAGCAAUGCCGCGUGAGUGAAGAAGGCCUUCGGGUUGUAAAGCUCUUUUGUCAGGGAAGAAACGGUGAGGGCUAAUAUCCCUUGCUAAUGACGGUACCUGAAGAAUAAGCACCGGCUAACUACGUGCCAGCAGCCGCGGUAAUACGUAGGGUGCAAGCGUUAAUCGGAAUUACUGGGCGUAAAGCGUGCGCAGGCGGUUUUGUAAGUCUGUCGUGAAAUCCCCGGGCUCAACCUGGGAAUUGCGAUGGAGACUGCAAGGCUAGAAUCUGGCAGAGGGGGGUAGAAUUCCACGUGUAGCAGU
RNAcentral lists this ribosomal RNA (625 nucleotides) under Rugamonas sp. 4r3. RNAcentral describes it as "bacterial SSU rRNA". It matches the Rfam family "Bacterial small subunit ribosomal RNA", at positions 62 to 682 of the family's 1533-position model. Lineage: Bacteria; Pseudomonadati; Pseudomonadota; Betaproteobacteria; Burkholderiales; Oxalobacteraceae. The record is from RNAcentral.